UGGGGAAUAUUGCGCAAUGGGCGAAAGCCUGACGCAGCGACGCCGCGUGAGGGAUGAAGGCCUUCGGGUUGUAAACCUCUUUCAGCAGGGACGAAGCGAGAGUGACGGUACCUGCAGAAGAAGCACCGGCCAACUACGUGCCAGCAGCCGCGGUAAUACGUAGGGUGCAAGCGUUGUCCGGAAUUAUUGGGCGUAAAGAGCUCGUAGGCGGUCUGUCGCGUCGGCUGUGAAAACUCGGGGCUCAACCCCGAGCCUGCAGUCGAUACGGGCAGACUAGAGUGCUGUAGGGGAGACUGGAAUUCCUGGUGUAGCGGUGAAAUGCGCAGAUAUCAGGAGGAACACCGGUGGCGAAGGCGGGUCUCUGGGCAGUAACUGACGCUGAGGAGCGAAAGCGUGGGGAGCGAACAG
This 408-nucleotide ribosomal RNA is filed under the name uncultured bacterium. RNAcentral describes it as "bacterial SSU rRNA". It matches the Rfam family "Bacterial small subunit ribosomal RNA", at positions 355 to 775 of the family's 1533-position model. The record is from RNAcentral.